RNAcentral lists this ribosomal RNA (1421 nucleotides) under bacterium NLAE-zl-G482. RNAcentral's name for it is "bacterial SSU rRNA". It matches the Rfam family "Bacterial small subunit ribosomal RNA". The record is from RNAcentral.
AAGAAGCCUUGCUUUCCUUUGCCUGAACGAAGCUGGCGGACGGGGUGNAGUAAUGUCAUGGGCAAACAUGGCCCUGGAUGGGANGGGGAUAACUACUGGAAACGGUAGCUAAUACCGCAUAACGUCGCAAGACCAAAGAGGGGGACCUUCGGGCCUCUUGCCAUCGGAUGUGCCCAGAUGGGAUUAGCUAGUAGGUGGGGUAACGGCUCACCUAGGCGACGAUCCCUAGCUGGUCUGAGAGGAUGACCAGCCACACUGGAACUGAGACACGGUCCAGACUCCUACGGGAGGCAGCAGUGGGGAAUAUUGCACAAUGGGCGCAAGCCUGAUGCAGCCAUGCCGCGUGUAUGAAGAAGGCCUUCGGGUUGUAAAGUACUUUAAGCGGGGAGGAAGGGGAGUAAAAGUUAAUACCUUUGCUCAUUGACGUUACCCGCAGAAGAAGCACCGGCUAAAUUCCGUGCCAGCAGCCCGCGGUAAUACGGGAGGGUGCAAGCGUUUAAUCGGAAUUACUGGGCGUAAAGCGCACGCAGGCGGUUUUGUUAAGUCAGAUGUGAAAUCCCCGGGCUCAACCUGGGAACUGCAUCUGAUACUGGCAAGCUUGAGUCUCGUAGAGGGGGGUAGAAUUCCAGGUGUAGCGGUGAAAUGCGUAGAGAUCUGGAGGAAUACCGGUGGCGAAGGCGGCCCCCUGGACGAAGACUGACGCUCAGGUGCGAAAGCGUGGGGAGCAAACAGGAUUAGAUACCCUGGUAGUCCACGCCGUAAACGAUGUCGACUUGGAGGUUGUGCCCUUGAGGCGUGGCUUCCGGAGCUAACGCGUUAAGUCGACCGCCUGGGGAGUACGGCCGCAAGGUUAAAACUCAAAUGAAUUGACGGGGGCCCGCACAAGCGGUGGAGCAUGUGGUUUAAUUCGAUGCAACGCGAAGAACCUUACCNUGGUCUUGACAUCCACAGAACUUUUCCAGAGAUGAAUUUGGUGCCUUCCGGGAACUGUGAGACAGGUGCUGCAUGGCUGUCGUCAGCUCGUGUUGUGAAAUGUUGGGUUAAGUCCCGCAACGAGCGCAACCCUUAUCCUUUGUUGCCAGCGGUCCGGCCGGGAACUCAAAGGAAACUGCCAGUGAUAAACUGGAGGAAGGUGGGAAUGACGUCAAGUCAUCAUGGCCCUUACGACCAGGGCUACACACGUGCUACAAUGGCGCAUACAAAGAGAAGCGACCUCGCGAGAGCAAGCGGACCUCAUAAAGUGCGUCGUAGUCCGGAUUGGAGUCUGCAACUCGACUCCAUGAAGUCGGAAUCGCUAGUAAUCGUGGAUCAGAAUGCCACGGUGAAUACGUUCCCGGGCCUUGUACACACCGCCCNACACACCAUGGGAGUGGGUUGCAAAAGAAGUAGGUAGCUUAACCUUCGGGAGGGCGCUACCACUU